AGCGAACGCUGGCGGCAGGCCUAACACAUGCAAGUCGAACGAAGUCUUCGGACUUAGUGGCGGACGGGUGAGUAACACGUGGGAACGUACCUUUUGGUUCGGAACAACUCAGGGAAACUUGAGCUAAUACCGAAUGUGCCCUUAGGGGGAAAGAUUUAUCGCCAUUAGAGCGGCCCGCGUUAGAUUAGCUAGUUGGUGGGGUAAAGGCCCACCAAGGCUACGAUCUAUAGCUGGUCUGAGAGGAUGAUCAGCCACACUGGGACUGAGACACGGCCCAGACUCCUACGGGAGGCAGCAGUGGGGAAUCUUGCGCAAUGGGCGAAAGCCUGACGCAGCCAUGCCGCGUGAAUGAUGAAGGUCUUAGGAUUGUAAAAUUCUUUCAGUAGGGACGAUAAUGACGGUACCUACAGAAGAAGCCCCGGCUAACUUCGUGCCAGCCGCCGCUGUAA
RNAcentral lists this ribosomal RNA (449 nucleotides) under uncultured bacterium. RNAcentral's name for it is "partial 16S ribosomal RNA". It matches the Rfam family "Bacterial small subunit ribosomal RNA", at positions 29 to 523 of the family's 1533-position model. The record is from RNAcentral.